This is a non-coding RNA of Chelonoidis abingdonii (Abingdon island giant tortoise), 3019 nucleotides long. NCBI's taxonomy places the organism in Eukaryota, Metazoa, Chordata, Testudines, Testudinidae. The record is from RefSeq and is a predicted model, not a curated record.
UCCAGCCCUGCAGGCAGGCAGAGCCAGGGGCAAGCUUGUCCGUGCCCCGCAGGCGUGGGGGUAUAGAGGCCUGGCCUGGGCCCGGCUGGCGGCCGAGCAGAUGGCGAAUGGGGAGCUGGAUGAGGAGAGCCUGCAGGAGCUCUACAGCUGGGUGGAUGCCAUCCCCCUGUCCCGCCCCAAGAAGAACAUCACCCGGGACUUCAGCGAUGGAGUUCUAGCAGCAGAAGUGGUGAAAUUUUACUUUCCCAAAAUGGUGGAAAUGCACAAUUAUGUCCCAGCUAAUUCAACGCAACAGAAACUCUCCAACUGGGGCCAUCUUAACAGGAAGGUGCUGAACAAGCUGAAUUUCUCCAUCCCGGAAGACAUGAUCCGGAAGAUCGUACAGUGUACGCCCGGCGUGGUGGAGCUGAUGCUGCUCCCACUGCGGCAGAAAAUUGAGGAGAAGCAGAAGCAGAGCAAGGUGGCAUCUGGCACAUAUCAGGAGCUGGGCACGCGCUAUGGACUCCAUGAGAACGGCCAUAUGGAAACAGGCUAUUCGUCGAACCCAAAGACCAAUGCCGCAGGGGUCCACGUGCAGCAGUCCCCACGAGCGGAAAGGAUGAACAAGGGCCAGCAAGGCUAUGCCCAGGCACCGCCGGGAGACACCAGCUUUCGCAUUCAGUUAGCGGAGAGGGAGCAGGCUCUGCUGGCUUGUCAAGAGACGGUCCAGAUCCUGCAGAUGAAGGUGCGGCGGCUGGAACACCUGCUCCACCUGAAGAACGUUCGGAUUGAUGACCUCACAAGGCGCCUACAGCAAGUGGAGCAGAAAGAGAAAUGAGGCGGGGCUCAGUUUGCCUCCGCGCCCUUCCCUGCGACUCUCACACCCUCAGAACCUCUCCCAGGCACAUCUGGAAGAGCCACCGUUCCUGUGCCUCUCCCACUGCUAGUGACUCCUCCUGGGCUUGGAGAGACUGAGCCGUCCCAAGCAGGACUGGUAGAGUCCAGGUUUGAAUAAUGACACAGGGCUCCCAGUUACUUACAAUCCAAGGGCAAAACUGAGGAAAAAAUAAGGUCUAGAGUCCAAGAGUGAAAAAUGCACAUGCACAAGCACAGGUGGCAAGUGCACAUCUAGAAGUUCACCUGCAGUUGUGCAUGAGGGUGCUGUAAUUGUGUAAGUGCACCGGCGAUUGUGCAUGUAUUUGUUAAUCAUGUUUAUGCAUCUGCAAUCGGCUUUGCAUUCAUUGCAAUUAUGGACAUGGACCUGCAGUUGUGCAUGCACUUAUACAUUGCAAGAAAUGCUAGUGCAAAUGUGCACUCACAAAUGUGCCUGAAGGUGAUCGGGCUGAGGCAGUAUUUCGAGCGCCAGGUUUUCUAUCUAUAACCAAAUCCAGCGACUUUCAUUCAGAAUAUUGACUCCUCUGCUUCCCAAGCUUUAUAGCAGGCCACCCCUUUGCUUGUUCAUUGUUUUCAAGAGCCCCAACCCGCCCCCUUUUGUUCCAUCUGGUGGCUCUUGGGUGACAGCUGAUUGGAGAUGCCUGGGGGAGGAAUGACUCAUUCCCAAGGAUGCUUUUCUAUAGGUGCGAUCCUGGAGCCCUCACUCAGGGACAACUCCCACUGCAGGCUGAGGAUCUGUCUACGCAGCAAAAGCUGGGCACAGGGCAGCCUACCUGAGCCAGCGUGAAUCCAGCUAGCGCAGGUAAUGUAGCCAUGAAGCCAACGCAGCACAGGCUACUGAGCAGAAUGCAUGGCCAGGCUCCAGGCCAGGCAGCACUAUCCAUGCUGAUGCCCCGCCCCCUGCUCUGUCUUCAUUGCUGUUACCCAUGCUAGCCAGCUCGGGUAACUUAGUCCAGGCCAGCUGGUGCUGUGUAGACACACCCUGAGUAAGGCCCUCUGGGAUCAGGCCUUGUGGAGAUCAGUCACCUCCACCCAUUGAUCAGUUUACUCUGGGCUCCAUUUGGAUACAAGCAUGAAAAGACCCUCAGCUCCUGGCUCUCUGCUCCUAACAGUUUGAGGUUCUGCAGCCUGGGGGUGGGGUUCAAAGGCUGGCUGACUAGAAAGGAGCCAUCUCUGCCAUGGUCCUAGGGCUGAUAAUAGCAACUCCGACCAAUAGCAGGGCUGACCAGUCACAGCCACAGAGAAGCCUCCUGCUGGGGAGAUGCUGGCGGCUGCUCUCAGACCCAAAAGCUACAAACUCAGGGCCAGCCCCUCACCUGCUGUAAACAGGAGUAGCUGUACUGAGGUCAAUGGGCCAGGUCCUGGCUGGUGAAAUGGGAGUAGCUGUACUGAGGUCAAUGGGCCAGGUCCCGGCUGGUGAAAUGGGAGUAGCUGUACCGAGCACAAUGGGCCAGGUCCUGGCUGGUGUAAACAGGAGUAGGUGUACGGAGGUCAAUGGGCCAGGUCCCGGCUGGUGUAAACAGGAGUAGCUGUACUGAGGUCUCAGCUGGUGUCAACGGGAGUAGCUGUACUGAGGUCAAUGGGCCAGGCCCCGGCUGGUGUCAACGGGAGUAGCUGUACUGAGGUCAAUGGGCCAGGUCCCCGGAUGGUGUAAACGGGAGUAGCUGUACUGAGGUCAAUGGGCCAGGCCCCGGCUGGUGAAAUGAGAGUAGCUGUACUGAGGUCAAUGGGCCAGGUCCCCGGAUGGUGUAAAUGGGAGUUGCUGUACUGAGGUCAAUGGGCCAGGUCCUGGCUGGUGUAAACGGGAGUAACUGCACUGAAGUCAGUGAAGCGAUGCUGACUUGCAUCAGUGGGGAAUCGCUCUUCUAGCCAGGGAUAGGACUGAGCUGCUGAAGCUGGCCCUGCAUUCUGAACACGUCAGAGCUGGAGGUUGUUUGGAUAUAGAGCUGCAGUUUGGCCCAAAGGGAGCCUGCAUGUAGGUUCAGACUGACACCUCCUGAAAUCCUGAGGUGUGUGGGUCAGAGGCUGGGUUCAGGCCCCACUCUGCUAUCUUCUCUACAGUCAGUGACCUAGCUGCACUAUUGCUUGGCACAACACACUUGCCUUCAGCUUCCUGCAGUCCCGGAGACUUGCCAAAUUCCCACAC